GAUGAAGAACGUAGCGGAAUGCGAUAAGUAAUGUGAAUUUCAGAAUUCAGUGAAUCAUCGAAUCUUUGAACGCACAUUGCGCCCGCCAGCACUCUGGCGGGCAUGCCUGUUCGAGCGUCAUUUCAACCAUCAAGCCCCCAGGGGCUUGUGCUGGGGCCCUGCGGCUGCCCGCAGGCCCUGAAAACCAGUGGCGGGCUCGCUAGUCACACCGAGCGCAGUAGCACAUCUCGCUCAGGGCGUGCGGCGGGCUCCUGCCGUGAAACCCCCCACUGUAACCCCAAAGGUUGACCUCGGAUCAGGUAGGAAUACCCGCUGAACUUAAGCAUAUCAAUAAGCGGAGGA
This 342-nucleotide unclassified non-coding RNA is filed under the name soil metagenome. Its description in RNAcentral is "partial contains 5.8S ribosomal RNA, internal transcribed spacer 2, and large subunit ribosomal RNA". The stretch from base 1 to 120 matches the Rfam family "5.8S ribosomal RNA", at positions 35 to 154 of the family's 154-position model. The record is from RNAcentral.